GAAGUCAACAGCUCAAAAGAGGUCACCCAACCAAAGUGGACUACUCCACCCGGAAGAGCUCUCUCAGAAGAACCUCGUCCGGUUGUGGUAUGUCAUGUCUUAACAUCAUGUUAAUACCACAUGUGCAGAGACAUGAGACCACGCUAAUCCUAGGUGUAUACUCGGGUCUGGGUUUUAGCCCCACUCAGAACACCCACCCCAAAUCAAAGGAACCACACCUGUCCAGAAU
This 229-nucleotide long non-coding RNA is filed under the name Lathyrus oleraceus (garden pea). RNAcentral's name for it is "Pisum sativum (pea) long non-coding RNA (PSAT_LNC033329)". Lineage: Eukaryota; Viridiplantae; Streptophyta; Magnoliopsida; Fabales; Fabaceae. The record is from RNAcentral.